AGCGACCGUAGACGUUUCCUGUGUGAAAGGCGCUGUUCUCGUGACUGUAGGGAACAUUUUCUCUGUGAAAGGUUCCGUUCUCAAUAGUUCCUGUAUAGCAACAUUGAGAUAUUAGCAGUGUCCUCCGAAAAAGAUCUGAACUGUCUGUCACACUGAAAACUGCACUCCUUCAUGGGGCCAAAGGUGCCGCAGAUGUUACCGAGCUAAGCAGUUCAUACUCUGGAGCUGGGUUGCUGGCCUAUGUCUCUCCCAGCAUGGCACCGUCGCAGCGGUUAAAAUGAGCACUCAACAGAUGCAGCCGAGAAGGGAGCUGGGAUCCACGAACAGUUUAGAAAGCUGGUUAUGGAGGCCAUGGGGAGCCAGCUACGGAGCAGCUCGGGAAGCAGCAGUACUUCCAACUUAACCGCUGUCCUUUUGGAAAACUCAGACUUGGAACCAACAUUUAUAGG
Long non-coding RNA from Tupaia belangeri chinensis (Chinese tree shrew), 449 nucleotides. RefSeq lists it as uncharacterized. The record is from RefSeq and is a predicted model, not a curated record. The transcript has 4 exons. Lineage: Eukaryota; Metazoa; Chordata; Mammalia; Scandentia; Tupaiidae.